This 103-nucleotide small RNA is filed under the name Heyndrickxia coagulans. RNAcentral describes it as "Bacillus coagulans Guanidine-I sequence". It matches the Rfam family "Guanidine-I riboswitch aptamer". Rfam says of the family: This family represents a conserved RNA structure found upstream of the ykkC and yxkD genes in Bacillus subtilis and related genes in other bacteria. The function of this family is unclear although it has been suggested that it may function to switch on efflux pumps and detoxification systems in response to harmful environmental molecules. Lineage: Bacteria; Bacillati; Bacillota; Bacilli; Caryophanales; Bacillaceae. The record is from RNAcentral. RNAcentral also lists the same sequence under 1 other name.
AAAACUGUUUUCUAGGGUUCCGCGGAAGAAAUUCCGGCCUGGUCCGAGAGAAAACACACAGUCGUAUUAUGCUGUGACACGGAAGGAUAAAAGCCUGGGAGAU